Molecule: RNA transcript, 3417 nt
Organism: Oxyura jamaicensis (ruddy duck)
Lineage: Eukaryota; Metazoa; Chordata; Aves; Anseriformes; Anatidae
Gene: RWDD4
Gene name: RWD domain containing 4
Exons: 11
Source: RefSeq, a predicted model, not a curated record
GGGCGGCGCGUGCGCGGCAGCCCCGGCUGAGGCGGGGGGUGGGCGGGAGGGUGGCAGGGGUGCGCGCGUGGCGCGCGCCAUGGCGGCCAACGAGGACCAGGAGAUGGAGCUGGAGGCGCUGCGCUCCAUCUACGAAGGUGACGGCUGCUUCAGGGAGCUCAGCCCCGUGUCCUUCCAGUACCGGAUAGGUGAAAAUGGAGAUCCAAAAGCCUUUCUAAUAGAAGUCUCUUGGCCAGAAACAUAUCCGCAAACAGCACCAAUCUUAUCAAUGGAUGCUUUUUUCAACAACACGAUAUCUUCAGCUAUUAAACAAAGCAUAUUGGAUAAGUUGAUGGUAGAAGUUGAAGCUAAUCUUGGAACUGCUAUGACUUACACACUUUUUGAAUAUGCCAAAGAUAACAAAGAGCUGUUCAUGGAAAAUCAGCCUGUUAACACUGUGACUUCAGUAAGCAAUAGUAUUGCAAUUGGAGCUCCCGAUGUGCCAGCAAGUAAGAAAAAGGACAAAAAGGAGCAGUUAUCCAAAACCCAGAAACGAAAGCUAGCUGACAAAACAGAUCACAAAGGGGAGCUUCCUCGAGGAUGGAACUGGGUGGAUGUAAUUAAGCAUAAUUCAGGAUUCUGCAUCCUUGGAAGGCUGUAACUAGCUGAUACCCACAGAAGAGUUCAUAUUUGUGAACAACCCCUACAGUUGUCAUUCCAUUGAUUUACUUUUUAAUCUUUUUCUCUGAAAAGUGCUGCAAGAAAUUGCAGAGAGUAUUUCACGUGGAAUUUUUGUGGUUUCCCAAUGAAAAAAAGGGAAAGCAGUAACAUAGGGGAAAACAAUGUCAAUUAAAAUAAAAUGGAAGAUUUGAAACUUCUAUGUAAUUCAUCUGCAUUGUCAUUAAACUCUUCCACAAAAGAAAAAAGUGGGCAGUUUAUGGAAAAGUAAUUUUUACUCAGAAAUUUCUAAGCGUGAUGCACCAUUGUCUUGGUCAAAGACUGAACUAAGUGAUUGAACUGCAAAAUUUUCUGGGGAAUAAAAAUCAGUCAAUGCUGAGACAUAAACUCCUACUACAAAGGGAUGUUUUCAGCAAUGAUCCUACACACAGGCAGCAAGCUUAGAGCAAACGGCUGAGCUCUUUCCAGGAUGUACGUAAGGUAUUUCAGGAAUUUGCACCACUUGCUCUCAGACAGGAUGCAUCCACUGAACUUCUUUCACAGAAAGAUCAAUUCCAAGUUUUUCUCCCAGAAACAUUACAUGUCAGGAUGAAAAGGCAAGUGUUUACAACUGGGAUGAGGAAAUUCUGGCACGUUUGGCAGUGUCGACCUCUGUGAGUUCAGCAGCAAGCUGCUGUUUGUUUUAUGUUUGUCAGCAUGAACCUAUGUAGAACAUGGCAUGGUAGAGAGAACUUGGAAUGUCUCACCUGUCUGUAAAACUGAUGUGUUCUUUUUCUUUUGAGUAAUGGUUUCCUGUAAUGUUUCAGAUCAAGUGCAAAUUCCCUUCCCCAUUCAGCUCCUACUGUCAUCAUAACUGUUUUUUCUGGUCAGGCAGAGUUAUACCAGUGUGCUGAUUAAUUGGAUAUGAUCAGUUCAGACAGGCUCUGGGGCUGUAAGCAACAUCUGAGCCUGAAUGAGGCUUUAACACGGCUUCAUUUCACCACGGAUAGUUGUUUACCUUUACUGUCCUUACCUUUACUAAUUUUGCUUCUUUUUUUGUGCACCCAGCUAAAACCCAGUUGUCAUUCCUGGCACAAGAACCUGCAAAUCAGCUGUCCUAUUAAACUGAUAUUGUCAAAUAUAUUGUGAGCAAACGAGUCACACUCUUCUUACCAGGCAGGGAUGCUGAUCACUAUGCUAGUGCUGUUCCCAAGCCAAGGAAGGGGCAGGCAUUGUUGCCUGUAGAGCUUCAUGUUUUUUUUAUCUGCUAGUCAGGGCUCCAAACCAGACUUCUGGGACCAAGGGAAAUCAAUAUUCAUAUCAUUUCUGCUUUUGCAGCUAUCAUAUCUGAGAGAUGUUCUUCAUGUAGGAAUUCUGGCUACAGUGUAUUGUGUGCUGUGCCUCUGAGAAACCCACACAAGGACGUAUUUCCAAUCUGCCAUAUUUUGCACAUGAUACGCACAGCCAUCAGUGCUGAAAGCAGUCUCAGGUCAAGAGUGCAGGAAUUGUCAGAAAGCACUAUUUUUCUAUCAAGUGAACAAGGACUUUUUGUGGAAAGCAAAUGAAACCACUGUAUUUUUUUCAUUUGCAAGUGUCCUUUCCAGUGUUCUUCCAUGUGGCUGACCUGAAGGAACCAGGUGGUCUCUCAGAUCCCAUGAGUGGGAAAUAGAUGAAAAUUGCAAAAGUAACGUACUGCAUUUAUUCACCAGGAAAACCUCAAAACUUUAAAAGUAAGGAGAUGCCAUUUCACAGCUGCUCUGUAUUAUCACUGGAGUAAGGGUUUUGGUUAGUUUGAUUCAGCAACAGUUAGUCAAAAUCAGUUGCGUAGAAAGGUAGUUAUAUGAACCUACAAAUUAAGGCUAGCCUAGAAAAAUGUUCAUCCCACUUGGCAUAUUUUUUUGUAGGGGGAAUAAACCCCCCAAUACAUUUGAAGUGAAGUUACAACAAAGAAAUGAUAUAAAGGGAAAUUAUGAAGAAGCCUUAUUUCAGUGCAUGUGGAGCUCUUUCUCUAAUUACUCCCUAUAUUAUUUUGGCUCUGUUGUGUUUGAUAUUUAGGGCAAGUUUAUCUCUGUGUGAUGGCAGAUUAAUCUUUUGUUUUUUGACAGAGGAAUUGCAUUUUUCACAAUGUGAAAAUAAACUUACUUGGAGUUCUUUAUACAGGAUGACAGCCCUAUUUCUCAAAGUAGCAGAGGACUUCCCCAAAGACUUGUGACACUCUGUCCUGGCUGUAUCAGUUUUCUCUCUUCUGCAUGUUUCCCCUUUUUCCUUUCUCAUACAGGAUUAAAUGUUUCAUUGGAAGAAAAAAAAAUUGGAUGACCUAAAGAAUCAGAUAAAAGAUUGUAGAGUAAGAAGAGGUAGUAUGGAGUUUACAAAUUACUUGGAAAAAGUGGCAAAGGCACCCCCUCUCUAGCUUAUGAUUGGUUUCCUAGGUAAGUUAAUUUAGAAAGAUUGAAACAGAAAUAUUUAAAAGAAAAAAAAAAUUACAUUGUUGGAACAGAUUUUUUUUGUUGUUUUUUAAAUUAUUGUUUAUCCAGUCAAUUAUGCACUUGUCCUGGUUUUGGCUGGGAUAGAGAUAAUUUUCUUAAUAGGGUCUGGUAUGGUGCCAUGCUUUGGAUUUAGGGCGAUAAGAAUGUUGAUAACACACGGAUGUUUUAGUUGUUACAGGGCAGUGUGAGUCAAGGACUUUUCAGCUUCUGGUGCUGCCCUGCCAGCGAGGAGGCAGGAGGUGCCCAAGGAGCUGGGAGGGGACACAGACAGGGCAGCUGGCCCAGAGGGAUGUCC